UAUUUUUUUUACCUCGACGGUUUAGUUUCUCGGUCCAGGGAUUUGGAAGCUGUCCCACUACCUCCCGUCGCCCGUCACCUGAUUUCCCCCAUCGUAGUUUUCUAAUCGAGCGUAUGCGGCGGUUGGCGAUUGAGCGGCCGCCGGCGAGCGCAUGAGCGGCGGAUGGACUCGGUGGCCAUAGGAGCGCAGCUGCUGGGCUCUGCCACGACCGUGUCCUCGGCUGCGUCGUGGCCGGCGGCGAGCGGCGGAUGCGGGAUGCGCUGUGGGUGUCCUUCGCUCCGCUGUGUUCUGCCGACAAAUCGACGGCGACCGGCUGUAGGUGUGAUUGCGGCCGGCGGCGGGCGGUUGCAGGCAGGGUUGCUGCGAGCGGCUGCUGCUGGGGAUCUUAUCGGCUUGAGGCUUGGUGAGUGGCAGAUCCUCCUCUCCGCCUCCCACAGCAGCUCGGCCGUCUGUUCCUCCACGUUCCGCACGGCCGGCUAGCCGUCAACUUCGCCGCGCUACCAGGUCAUGCUGCAGCUGUCCUCGUCUCGUCCCCAUACCAUGACCAUACCACCAUGGUGAGCUCUCUUCCAAUCUUCCACAUGUUUGGUUUUUUUUUUUAACGUUUGGAUCUGAAUGUACGAGCUAGCUCAUUUGCUAUCAGUCCCAGUCAUCUAUUUGGCUCACGUUCUUGUGAAUGCAAUACAUAUUAGUUUGUCAUUUAUUUCCUGUUCUUGAAGAUGGCAUAGGAGUGCAGAACCACCGUAAAGAUAGUCUGUCGACUGAAAACGGAAGCUUGAAAAUUUUGCGCUGCAGGUAUGAUGUGUUAUACUGUUAUUGGCCGAUUCACUGGUUCUGUGUUGAAAAUUGAUGGUAGUUUGAAUGAAAAAUGCAUGGAAGUUGGCUAAACCUGUUAGUUUAUUUGCUUCUAACUUUGAUCAUGUUCCCAGCCUUAAUAGAUUUGGCCUUACAGACCAAUAUAGAUACAGUAUGCCAAAUGUAUUUUAAAUCUGGGAAAAUUACUACAGAGGAUAUUCCGGUUGUUGGCCAUUGAGCUUGGAUGACAUUCUAAUUUUUGAAUGAUUUUUGUAUGCUCACAUGAGGCCAUGCAUCAUGUACUUGUAUAUGGGGCCAUUCAGUCAUGCAUUAAACCAUGCAAUAAGUUAUUGUUGCAUUGGUUGUUCUUAUGUCUCAUUGCCACUAAGAACUACAUGGAAAUAAGUUAUUUAUGUUGGUACCGAGAAUUCUUACAUUGACAAUAAGUUAUACUACAAGCUCUGCAGAACUUUGGUUUAACCUGCCCUAUCACGAUAAAACAAAGCGAUUAACCUACACGAUCACGAGUUCAUGCCAUAAAGUUAAUUCCCUCUUUUGCGUUUUGUCAUGAUAACACAUAUCAUUUAUCCAGCUGCUUGUGGUCUCGUAGUUGUAGAGGACUAUCCUUCAUGAGGUUAUAUUAAACAUGUCAGAAUUAUACUCAUGAUAGCCUGACGAUGAGUUAACUGUUAUUCCAUCAAAAGACUGCAAAUUCUUUCUCUGACAAUGUCACACCCACAUAUAUCUCUGAUGUUGGCCGUCUAGGGACCUAAAAUUUUCAGGUGGUCAUAUCAAUAGCCAAAAUGUGCCACCUUUCUGCAGCGUGCUGUUGUGUUUGCCAAUAGGUCUAUUGCCUUCUUGAUUUCAUUAUUCUGUACACAUAAUCUUUUGGGACAGUGCACCUUAAAAUUCUUAAAUUUUAUAUAUAUGUCUGAUGCAGUCGUUGUAAAGGUGCUUCUCUUACCUAUUAACUUGUUAACUACAGGGGUGAACAUAACUGUAUCAUCUGGCUUGAAAAUAAAUGCUUUGUUUGCAGAACACUCUGAACGAAAGAGCUAGAUGAUGUCUUCUAUAAGUGUGACUUUCAAAGCAUGGAAAGAAGCAGCCUGUAGCUCUUCGCUUCCUUCACAAACCAUACAUUUAAAUCUUGAAACAAAGGAUAUUGCAUCUGCAACAUUUUGCGGCAUCCGAGGGGAUUUUGGUGAUGAUCUAGUGUUGGCGUUUCUGUAUUUUGGUGCUCAGAUGUGGAUGAUCGCCUGGUCGUGUUGGUAAGUUGUUGUAUGACCAGUAUUUGAGUAAUGCUAGAUGUUAUCUUGCCUCUCCUUUACCACCCAAACUAUUAUUUUAGUUUAGUUAAUAACUAGUAGGUUGAAAAUGGCUUUACUAGUCUGACGGGCUUGAAAAAUUCCAUUAAAGUGCUACAUUGAUCUUGUUGCGACGACUGAUCCUUCCUGCUGUACUGUGGUAAUGAGAAGUGAUGCAAUUACAUUCUGCGAUUGUAUAACAUAUUAUUUUGUUAAUUGCACAUGAAUAAUUUACGUUGUUUUCUUCAGAAUUAUACUGCUUAGUUUGUUAGUCGUUAAAGAUUUUCUUCUUUAUGGCAUACCGUUUUCUUUGUUUAUGGCUGUUUUACCCGUGUUACAUAAUGUCAUACCUAUUAUUUUUCUUGAUCUGGGCCUAAAAAUCAUCCUAGGAGGAACUGUUAUGCACACCAGCUUGCAGCAAGUAUGGCCUUAAAAUGGGUCACAAAACGGCAACAUGAAUGUCAGAGGCAAUGGGUUAUCUGCUGGAGCUAUAAGAACUAAGAACCCGAUGUCAUAUUCUAGAGAAUGUGGACGAAGAAGAUGAUUAACAGAAAUAUGAUGAUUGUAGACGGAAGCAAUUAGUACUACUAUGCCAUGUGCAAUUAGUUAGAAUGUAAUGAAUCUUUUGUGAUGUGCUCCAUAACUCAUGUCCUGUACUUCGAAGCCGGAAUGUAAUGACUUUUUGUUCUUCUAAUUUAUGAGAUUAUUUGUAGUUCUUGCACAUCAGACAAAAUAUUUAUGAUUCACAUGAUUUUCUUUAAAAAGAACAUUA
This is a long non-coding RNA of Lolium perenne, 2871 nucleotides long. RefSeq lists it as uncharacterized. The record is from RefSeq and is a predicted model, not a curated record. Lineage: Eukaryota; Viridiplantae; Streptophyta; Magnoliopsida; Poales; Poaceae.